UUAUACAAAAUAUACAAAUAAAUUUUUUUAUUUUAUAGUUAGAUUUAUUUUUUGUUAAGUUAGAUGUUUAUAAAUAAGGUGAAAUUUUUUAUAAAAAUUAAAUUUUUAAAUAAAUUAGUUGAAGCUAUUAGAUUUAAAUUAUAAACUAGGAUUAGAUACCCUAUUAUUUUAAAAUUAAAAAUUUAUGAUUAGGUAGUAAUAGUUAUGAUCUUGAAACUUAAAAAAUUUGGCGGUAUUUUAAUCUAAUUAGAGGAAUCUGUUCCAUAAUCGAUAGUCCACGAUAAAUUUUACAUAAUUUGAUUUAGUUUGUAUAUCGUCGUUAUAAGAAAAUUUUAUAAGGAUAUUAAUUUUCUAAAAUUUGCAUUUGAAUUUAUUUCAGAUCAAGGUGCAGCUUAUAAUUAUGAGGAAAUGGAUUACAAUAAAUUUAUUUAUAUGAAUAAUAAAGUGAAUAUUUUAUUUGAAGGUGGAUUUAAUAGUAAAUUAAAUUAUAUAAUUUGAUUGAUUUUAGCUCUAAAAUAUGCACAUAUCGCCCGUCGCUCUCUUUCGUUAAAAAGAGAUAAGUCGUAACAAAGUAGAUGUACUGGAAAGUGUAUCUAGAAUGAAUA
RNAcentral lists this ribosomal RNA (605 nucleotides) under Neochauliodes meridionalis. RNAcentral describes it as "12S ribosomal RNA". The record is from RNAcentral. Lineage: Eukaryota; Metazoa; Arthropoda; Insecta; Megaloptera; Corydalidae.